GUCGAGAAUCUUUCACAAUGGGGGCAACCCUGAUGGAGCGACGCCGCGUGGAGGAUAAGGUCUUCGGAUUGUAAACUCCUGUCAUGCGUGAACAAGGUUGCUUGGUUAAUACCUGGGCAAAUUGAUGGUAACGCAAGAGGAAGAGACGGCUAACUCUGUGCCAGCAGCCGCGGUAAUACAGAGGUCUCAAGCGUUGUUCGGAAUCACUGGGCGUAAAGGGUGCGUAGGUGGCGUGGUAAGUCAGAUGUGAAAGCCCGGGGCUCAACCUCGGAACUGCAUCCGAUACUGCCAGGCUAGAGUACUGGAGAGGUGACUAGAAUUCUCGGUGUAGCAGUGAAAUGCGUAGAUAUCGAGAGGAAUACCAAAGGCGUAGGCAGGUCACUGGACAGUUACUGACACUGAGGCACGAAGGCCAGGGGAGCGAACGGGAUUAGAAACCCCUGUAGUCC
This 449-nucleotide ribosomal RNA is filed under the name uncultured bacterium. RNAcentral's name for it is "partial 16S ribosomal RNA". It matches the Rfam family "Bacterial small subunit ribosomal RNA", at positions 354 to 796 of the family's 1533-position model. The record is from RNAcentral.